Molecule: ribosomal RNA, 405 nt
Filed under: uncultured bacterium
Lineage: Bacteria
Description: bacterial SSU rRNA
Rfam family: Bacterial small subunit ribosomal RNA
Source: RNAcentral
UGGGGAAUCUUGGGCAAUGGGGGAAACCCUGACCCAGCGACGCCGCGUGAAGGAAGACGGCCUUCGGGUUGUAAACUUCUGUGACAGGGGACGAAAAAAAUGACGGUACCCUGAGAGGAAGCCCCGGCUAACUACGUGCCAGCAGCCGCGGUAAUACGUAGGGGGCGAGCGUUGUCCGGAAUUACUGGGCGUAAAGGGCGCGUAGGCGGCCGAUCAAGUCUGUUGUGAAAGCCCAGCGCUUAACGUUGGACGUGCAAUGGAAACUGGUUGGCUAGAGUAUGGUAGAGGCAAGUGGAAUUCCCAGUGUAGCGGUGAAAUGCACAGAGAUUGGGAGGAACACCAGUGGCGAAGGCGACUUGCUGGGCCAAAACUGACGCUGAGGCGCGAAAGCGUGGGGAGCAAACA